UAUAAAUACAGGCAGAGAUGCACUGUAUACGUCUGAUUGCCGAUACGAGAUUGUAUUAAGCGUACUUGUAAGUACGCCGGGUCAGAUGGGGCAGCCUUUUGUGGGUUGCCUUUUUUCUUUU
Molecule: non-coding RNA, 121 nt
Filed under: unclassified sequences
Description: DUF3800-I RNA
Rfam family: DUF3800-I RNA
About the family: Actinobacteria, Firmicutes, Fusobacteria, Proteobacteria (1 example), Tenericutes (2 examples). Terminator (Clostridia)
Source: Rfam by way of RNAcentral